RNAcentral lists this ribosomal RNA (253 nucleotides) under uncultured bacterium. Its description in RNAcentral is "partial 16S ribosomal RNA". It matches the Rfam family "Bacterial small subunit ribosomal RNA", at positions 524 to 776 of the family's 1533-position model. The record is from RNAcentral.
UACGUAGGGUGCAAGCGUUGUCCGGAAUUAUUGGGCGUAAAGGGCUCGUGGGCGGUCUGUCGCGUCGGGAGUGAAAACUCAGGGCUUAACCCUGAGCCUGCUUCCGAUACGGGCAGACUAGAGGUAUGCAGGGGAGAAUGGAAUUCCUGGUGUAGCGGUGAAAUGCGCAGAUAUCAGGAGGAACACCGGUGGCGAAGGCGGUUCUCUGGGCAUUACCUGACGCUGAGGAGCGAAAGUGUGGGGAGCGAACAGG